UCGUAGGUACCCCUCUGUGACAUAAAGCCA
Molecule: small RNA, 30 nt
Filed under: Bombyx mori (domestic silkworm)
Lineage: Eukaryota; Metazoa; Arthropoda; Insecta; Lepidoptera; Bombycidae
Description: ovarian small RNA-29159
Source: RNAcentral